GGGAGCCGGAGGGAAACCGAGUCUUAAUUGGGCGUUAAGUUGCAGGGUAUAGACCCGAAACCCGGUGAUCUAGCCAUGGGCAGGUUGAAGGUUGGGUAACACUAACUGGAGGACCGAACCGACUAAUGUUGAAAAAUUAGCGGAUGACCUGUGGCUGGGGGUGAAAGGCCAAUCAAACCGGGAGAUAGCUGGUUCUCCCCGAAAGCUAUUUAGGUAGCGCCUCGUGAAUUCAUCUCCGGGGGUAGAGCACUGUUUCGGCUAGGGGGCCAUCCCGGCUUACCAACCCGAUGCAAACUGCGAAUACCGGAGAAUGUUAUCACGGGAGACACACGGCGGGUGCUAACGUCCGUCGUGAAGAGGGAAACAACCCAGACCGCCAGCUAAGGUCCCAAAGUCAUGGUUAAGUGGGAAACGAUGUGGGAAGGCCCAGACAGCCAGGAUGUUGGCUUAGAAGCAGCCAUCAUUUAAAGAAAGCGUAAUAGCUCACUGGUCGAGUCGGCCUGCGCGGAAGAUGUAACGGGGCUAAACCAUGCACCGAAGCUGCGGCAGCGACGCUGAUGCGUUGUUGGGUAGGGGAGCGUUCUGUAAGCCUGCGAAGGUGGCCUGUGAGGGUUGCUGGAGGUAUCAGAAGUGCGAAUGCUGACAUAAGUAACGAUAAAGCGGGUGAAAAGCCCGCUCGCCGGAAGACCAAGGGUUCCUGUCCAACGUUAAUCGGGGCAGGGUGAGUCGACCCCUAAGGCGAGGCCGAAAGGCGUAGUCGAUGGGAAACGGGUUAAUAUUCCCGUACUUGGUGUUACUGCGAAGGGGGGACGGAGAAGGCUAUGUUGGCCGGGCGACGGUUGUCCCGGUUUAAGCGUGUAGGUGUGUGUUCCAGGUAAAUCCGGUU
Molecule: ribosomal RNA, 886 nt
Filed under: Salmonella enterica
Lineage: Bacteria; Pseudomonadati; Pseudomonadota; Gammaproteobacteria; Enterobacterales; Enterobacteriaceae
Also listed under: 1 other name
Description: partial 23S ribosomal RNA
Rfam family: Bacterial large subunit ribosomal RNA
Source: RNAcentral